GAGCUAAUACCGGAUAAUAUUUUGUAACCGCAUGGUUCAAAAGUGAAAGACGGUCUUGCUGUCACUUAUAGAUGGAUCCGCGCUGCAUUAGCUAGUUGGUAAGGUAACGGCUUACCAAGGCAACGAUGCAUAGCCGACCUGAGAGGGUGAUCGGCCACACUGGAACUGAGACACGGUCCAG
Molecule: ribosomal RNA, 181 nt
Filed under: uncultured Staphylococcus sp.
Lineage: Bacteria; Bacillati; Bacillota; Bacilli; Caryophanales; Staphylococcaceae
Description: partial 16S ribosomal RNA
Rfam family: Bacterial small subunit ribosomal RNA
Source: RNAcentral